GCGCGGCAUUCGGCUCGGACGGUUUAUCGCGAAAUUUUAGUAUCCAAUGUGACGAGCAAAUGCGAACGAUUAGAUGCCAUUUAAAUGUGUAACGGUCGAACCAAUCUCGGCGUGUAGCUUCGUGAAUCUCGAGAUCGCAAUAGCACAAAAAGGCCCCGGAGGGAUUCGAACCCUCGAUCUCCUGUUUACUAGACAGGCGCUUUAACCAACUAAGCCACGGCGCCGUUGAAGGACAGUUCUCACACAUCGGAUUUCUUAUACGCGAAUUAGUUCCCAUCUCCCAUGUCGUGUUCCCAAUUCUCGAGUCUUGACGAAGGUACAUUGCCGAGGAAAGAUGUCGGACAGUGAUUCACCGGGACGCUCGGGCGCACAGGGGCGAGUCGUUCGUUUUCGCGGGGGACAAUCGAAGUUCCGGCGAAGUUAAUCAAUCGAUCCGGAAGACCCGUGAGAAUCGGGCAGGGAGUGGGCAGCCGGCGGCUGCCCGUAUUUGAUUGUUUAAUUAGCAAGAUGACCCGGUCGUACCCCAGCGGGGAUUCUCGAAGGAGCUCGAGUUAGACGGGAAGCAGCAUCGAGGAGGAAAAGGUGGAGUGACACAGGGAGACAGAGAAUGCAAGGGAGAAAGAGAAAGAGGGAAAGAGACAUAGAGAGAACGCGCACGAAACGAGCACGUUGAGGAACGGCAGAGGGUGCGAGAAACCGAAGACAUCGGAAGGAGAUAUAACCAGAGCGAGUCAGCCGAAGACUGUCGCUGAGAACGGGGAGGCGAGAGGAGGAUGUGUGCUCCCGAGGAGAGAUACAGUGGAACUCUGGCGAGAGGUAGGAUGGAGUAGGGAGGAGGAGGACGACGGGGCUGGAUUUCUGGUGUAUAGGGGUAUUAAUCCCUACCCUCAAUUACCCUUUGUCUUGGGCGCAGCUUGGUCCACUUGUUAAGACACCGCCACUGUUUGUCUUGAGGAGCAGGUAAGGGCGCCCCCGGAGCGGUCGCGGAGGUCUGCCGGCUGUUUCGGUCGCUGCUUUACAUACGUCCGUGAGACCGGAGACGAACUGCUACCGGGAAGGACUACUGAUCGUUGCGGUCUCGCCUCUGCCCUUGAUAGAAGUUCGCUAGCGAAGUUCCUGCCUCGCGGCCGCCUUAAGGGAUACCGCUCGUGCCGCUACUGAUAUCCUUGCUCUCGCGUGAUCCGUGGCCUUUUCGUGGACUCGAUCCUAGUGUUGACUUUUCUUGAAAUUAUUUUAAAUUCGACAAGUAUGAUAACAACAUUUCAUAGUAAAUUAUUUUUAUAAGACAGAUAUGUCAGCUCUGAAAUCUAAAAAAGUAAAUCAUUUAUCAAGUUUAGUAGCUUUGGGGGGUUUAUGUCACGUCUUCUAAAUGUUCAGAUUACUUCUAAAUGUUUUUGAAGUAAUUUGAAGAUUUUACAUUUUUGAAUUACUGCGUUACGAUAUCAUUUAAUGCUGUAAUCAAAGAAGUCGCGGUUUACCGAGACUCGCCAGAAGAGAAAAAAAAAAGAAAAAGACGAGUCGCCUCAUUGGAUUCGGCAAGGUCGAGAGGCUGAACGGAAGUCGACUACCUCCAAUUUAUCCCCGAGGGUAGGAAGCAAAGAGGGAACGGCGUGAAAACCGAAAGAGUCGACGAGCAGAUUUAUCCGCGUCGCGGUAAUUUCCUCAGAUUUUCCGUCCGUAUUAUUUGUUCGACAUCGGGCCGGCAAGGAGCAUAGCGGCAGAACGAAGGGUGCGUCGUCCGUUUCUUUACACUGCGAAGAAUAUCAAUUGUUAGAAAUACAAAGGGUGAGAGAAUGACGGGGUCGGAGGGGCGAAGAAAUCGUCUUCGUCGUUUGGGGUAAGAAGGAACCGCCAGCGUAGCGCGAUAUAGUAUAUAGAAGAGAGCGGUGUGGGGUGUGCGCAGCCUGUGGCACACCACCCCUGUACAAACCAAAUUCUUAAGAGAAUUUAACCGUUUGAAUAGCUCGCAAAUCCAUUGCAAAUGUUUACACGGGAUUGGCGCGCGAGCGGACUUCCUUCUCUUUCUGCCUGAUUCCGCUCGCAAUCGCGAUAUCUGACUCCCUGCUUUCGGGAUUCGAAGGCAUUCGGCCGGGUUUUCUAAGAUUUCUGACACGCGUCCGUUUUCGUUUGCCUGAUUGUGCUUACAGUAUAGAAACGAUUUUAGCUCUCUUUUAUUGAGUUGUUUAUAAUGUUACAAUAUAUAACAAUGCAUGUAUACUUUCUAAUUAGUUUUAUCAUUGUAUUUAAUAUAUUUAUCUAAUAAUCAUCUUUUCUAUAUUGUAAGAGAAAAAAAAGAUUAUUUUCUUGUGACUUAAAAUACGUACAAAAUAAUUUGAUAUUCUAACGUUACUAAGGCUAAAUUUGACAAUUGGCCGAGAGUUAAAUCGUCGUUUCUCGGGAAUCGAAGUUGGGAUGUAUGCACAAGGUGAAAGGAAUACGGCUUAUUUGCGUGCUACCGAAAAGUUUCUGGAAGCAGCGGGCGUUGCAUGCACCAGCAUUAAUAAUUACUUUACAACUGAUUCUUUUUUUUUCCAUUUCAUUUCAUUUUUCAGCGGCACGGUCGCGGCAGCCACCGAGCAGUUAAGGCGCUGUGCAUACGGUAACGCCUUCUGUUGUAUAUUAAUAGCUCGUAUCAUGCUAUAUUAUUAUUUUAGUUCGUUAAUCCGAUGUCGCAUGCUCAGGCGGAAUUGCUGUGCAGUUUGUUCCUAUACCUACAAUGUUUGCACUUAAUCAUACGAAUUUUCGCGCAAAUAAUACGUGACUACAAUACAUUUGACAACAUUAUCUGUUUCUCAAUUUGCUAAUAAGUUGUAAAAUAUGCGUUAUCAUGAUACAAGAUGGGAGUGCGAUAUCCCUGAGUCUGAAAUUUUCGCCGAAAGUGGAGUAGGUGAACGAUGCCUUCGGUAGUGGCAACACACACACAUAUCGGUUGACCUCAAACCUGUAUAUAUAUAAAUCGCAACGUACUGCCUCCUCAAUCUUGUCAAGCUGCAUCGCCCCGUAAACGUAACUCGCAGGCCUUGCCACCAAAACCGCGCCAUUCUGCAUUCAUAAGUUCGCUGCCUUUCUGCGUUCUGCAUUCUGAAUUACGUUUGUGAAUUUCUCUUUAAUAAGGACAAUAUAUCGAAAACAGUUUCGUAUUUCAAA
This 3147-nucleotide transfer RNA is filed under the name Ooceraea biroi (clonal raider ant). RNAcentral's name for it is "uncharacterized LOC105276294, transcript variant X3". The record is from RNAcentral. Lineage: Eukaryota; Metazoa; Arthropoda; Insecta; Hymenoptera; Formicidae.